GGAUGAUUCAUGUCUUUUUUGUGUGUGGAAACCGGAAAUAAUCCCCAUGCUUUCCAGCUGGUUCCCAGAAAGAAGACAAGAUUUGUCCAGGACCAUGCUGUGAGGUGUGCACUAUGAAUAGAACCUGAGUGUCUCUCCAUGCAGAUACUUGAGGGACACUUCUAAGAGCCAGAACCUCUGCUUCAUGUGGGAGAUACAGCCGAGGAUGUGACACACACCCCCCUAACAGAGCUGGUGGUAAGUCCACUGGGACAGCGGAGUGCACGCAUGAGCAGAGGAGAUACGUGUAAUAUAAGUGCCCACUGGUUUUCCUCAAGGCCCUAUCGCAUAUGGCAUUCACCAUGCCCCAUGUGCACAAGAUUCAACUAUACCCAUGAUGCAUGAUGCCCGGAAGCUCAACGAGAUGCAAAAUGAGGAAACCGAUUCAGAGAGAUGAAGCAACACCUACAGGGACUGCAGCUGACCGAUGGCUGCCACAGUGGGGAAACAACUUUAGGUCCGAGGAAGACGGUGAUAGAAAAACCAUGACGCGCCCAGAUCGGAGGAGGCUUUAGAUCAUCAAGGCUGCGGUCUGAUUUUUUUCUUCUAAGAAGCACUAUGCUGGCUUAUUUGGUUUUAAACAACAGAAACCCACUCUGUCUCCUGUAUGCCAAUGAGGAAUUUAUUGAGAGGAUCUGGGGUUCCUGUACUUCUUGGCACUUAUAAUUUGCACCUGUAUCUUUAUUUGUGCCAUCAUGUGAUUACCAUCUGCCUCUCCUACAAGACUGUCUCUGGGCUGAAAACAUGAUUAACAGGCUCCAUGGUGUGAAAAGGCAAUGAAAUUCUUUCAGCAAGAGGAAGGCUUCGCCCCGAUUUUCGAGGAUCCGUCUGAGGAGCUACUCUUUGG
This 886-nucleotide long non-coding RNA is filed under the name Equus caballus (horse). Its description in RNAcentral is "lncRNA (ENSECAG00000048027.1)". Lineage: Eukaryota; Metazoa; Chordata; Mammalia; Perissodactyla; Equidae. The record is from RNAcentral.